This 4803-nucleotide long non-coding RNA is filed under the name Sus scrofa (pig). RNAcentral's name for it is "lncRNA (ENSSSCG00050057784.1)". The record is from RNAcentral. Lineage: Eukaryota; Metazoa; Chordata; Mammalia; Artiodactyla; Suidae.
GGACAGUAGUGGCUUUCCCAGGGCAGCUGACAUGACUCCUCACCCCUCUCUGGCGAGGGCUCGGCGGGUACAGCCUGUGCACAGGUCAGGAGGUGGGCAUGUGUCUGAGGACAGGAGUCCUUUCCUUGAAGCAGAGAGAGGCUUCCCCACUCAGGGGGACACGGGAGGACCCUCACGGGGCCAGGGGAGGAGGGAGGAGGAGAGGCACCUACCCGGAGCUCCUGGUCCUUGGAGCGGCUCCAAUGGGAAGAUGAGAGGCCAGGCAAGAUUAAAGGGCAGAAGCGGUGCCUGAGGACAAAGCAGGGAUGGGGGGGAAAGGGGGGAUGGAACAAGAGGAACCUGAUGUCCCUGGAUGUGGGGAGAAGUGGGUAGGCCCAGAGGGAGUUCCAGAGGAGGUUCUAGGGGGUGGCCAGAGGGGACCCCAGGGAGGGGAGCCCGGAGGGGGCCCGUGAGGCUCUGGAACCCAUCUCCAAGGCAGGUGUCCAGGUGCCCAAGGCAAGGUAACCGGAGGUCCCACACCCUCAAAGCCCCCAAUGCCCAUCCACUGAUCAUGAUCCUUAGCAAGAAGGGUCUUUCUAGAAAUGCCAUUCUCUCCCCAGUGCAUCUGGUUUAAUCGUGGGGCUGUGGGUGGGUCGUUUCAGGAAGGUGGUUGGUGGCACCCACAACCCUGCGGGGGUGAGUCUGACAAUGUCACUCCGGCUCGUUUGGAGGAGGGCAGGGCAGGAGCGCCCCGCCCCCAGCUUUGCUGUGAGGCUUGAGGCUCUAGUGUUCGUGCAGCCCACCACUCGGCACUUGGCCCCGUGGGGGCUGUCCCAGACCUGGGUCCUCCAGUCAUAGGAUUACUUACAGACCCUCAAGGUGGAAGGGAGGUUAAAGAAUGCACCCCUCCGCCUGUGACUGAUUCUGCUGGGCAGUGCCAAACUCAGCUUGAUCUCCUCUGAUGACAGGACGCUCACUCCCUACCCUUCAGGGCAGCUCAUUCUGUCCUCGGCAGGUCUGUUGGCAGGUCUGAUAUGGAGCCCAGCUUUAUAUCCUGGGGAUCUCUUCCUAUGGGUUCCAGUCCUUUCUCUCAGGACUGCACGGAGCACAGGGCGCAUCUAAUCCUAGUACAAGGGACAGCCGUCCGGGUCUGGUCUCUGAUCCCUCCAGCCAUCUUCCAUCGAGAUACUCCACGCCCCCCACUCUUCUUACCUCCCACCUCUCACCCUCCUUGUUUGUCCAGAUCCUUCUUCCAUGCAGGGCUGAGCCUGAGACUCUGGGUGCAGAAUGCAGAGAAGAUCCAGGGGCCUCUGGCAGCCUCCUUAAUAUGGGGUGGGCUUACCUGAUGCCAUGAUUUUGUGAGUGUUCUCUCUCUCUUUCUUUUGCUCUCUCACCCUUUCCUUUCUCUGGGCAUUCUAAAAGAAAGGCACAGCUGUCUGAGGCCCAGAGAUGGGGCUUCUAGGCCACCUUCUUUCUUAGCCAGAGGAGGGUCAGGCUGAGCCAGCCAUGUGCCCAGAGGGGACUUGGAAAACCAUGGGGAUUUUUAACUGAAAGCACAUUUUCUUCGGCUCAUCUUUAAAUGACAGAAAAUAAAACAAGCUCACUGUAAAAAUGAGAAGUAAUUCAGAUGUGUACGGAGUAAAAAGCAAAGCCCUUUUUCAUGGCUCCCCCUCCCAGAUCUUAACCUCUGUGGACAGACUGGUGAGUUUCCUUUAAGGCAUUUUUCUUUCCACGUGGAAAUAAAUCUUUUUCCUUCCCUAAGGGAACACUACACAUGGUGACUAUUCAUUUAUCAGGGUCAGGUUUCCACAUAUAGUGCAGCCUCAGUCUUAGUUUUUAAGUGAAUUUUUUUUUUUUCUUUUUAGGGCUGCACCCGUGGCAUAUGGAGGUUCCCAGGCUAGAGGUCCAAUCGGAGUUACAGCUGCUGGCCUACACCCUGGCCACAGCCAUGCAGGAUCCGAGGUGGGUCUGUGACCUACACCACAGCUCACGGCAACGCCAGAUCCUUAACCCACUGAGCGAGGCCAGGGAUCGAACCUGCGUCUUCAUGGAUAACUAGUCGGAUUCGUUUCCGCUGCGCCAUGAUGGGAACUCCCUUAAAAUGAAAUUUGAAAAACAAAUUUAUUAACAGUUCCUAGAACAACGCCGUGUGGCAGCCCUGUAAACAGCAUAAAGAGUUUACCGGGAAGAACAGAGAGUUAUUUUCCAUCGCACCUCCCACACUGACCCCUGCUCUGAGUUCUCUGUGUCCCCAAACACACAGGGGAGGGCAGGUCACACGUCACACCGCACUUGGGGCACAAGGUGUAGGCGGGCCACGCUUUGUCACCAGCCUGCUGAUGUCACUUAGGUUAUCUUUAUUUUUUUUUCUUUUUAGGGCCACAUUUCCGGCAUAUGGAAGUUCCCGGGCUAGGGGUCCCGUCGGAGCUGGAGACGCUGGCCUGUGCCACAGCCACAGCCACGCGGGAUCCAAGCUGCAUCUGUGACCUACACCACAGCUCACAGCAACUUCAGAUCCUUAACCCACUGAACAAGGCCAGAGAUCGAACGCGCAUCCCCAGGGAUAUUAGUUGGGUUCUUCUUAGCCUGCUGAGCCACAACAGGAACUGCUUCAUCUAAGUUAUCUUUAGCUUUUCACUUUUUUUUUUCUUUUUUGGCUGCCCUGUGGCAUGGUGGUGUUUCCGGGCCAGGCAUUAGAUCCAAGCCGCAGUUGUGACCUAAACCACAGCUGCAGCAACACUGGAUCCCUAACCCACUGAGCCCGGCUGGGCAUGGAACUUGAGUCCCAGCGCUGCAGAGACGCCACUGACCCAUUGCCCCACAGUGAGAACUCCAUAGCUUUUCACUUUUAAACCAGGCUGCAGUGACCCCUUUGCACUGAUAUCCUUAGGCCCACGUAGGAAAGCUUCCCAAGGGUGGCCUGGCCGGGUCACAGGAGCACGUGGUCACAGUCAAGGUGCCGGCAGAACCCAGGCCCUGAUUCCUGGGAGGUGGCCAGGGACAGUAUAACACAGGAGGGGAGAGGGCAGCAGGCCAGGAGCCAGGAGGCCUGGGUUCUGAGCCUGUCACUUCCCCUCUCUGGGCCUGUUUCUUCCCCCUCAAAUGGACGGACUGGCCCAGAGGGCCCUGGUGGCCUUUCCAGGCUUCCGACAGCCACCAGCCCAUAAAACCGGGUGAGGGCUUGUCCCCCGCGCCCCACAGCUCUUCCCCGCCGUCUGGAAUGGCACUCUCUGCUCUGAUGACCCUGAAAGUCUGUUUUACUCUUCAGAUGUUUGGGAGAUGGUUCCGUUUCUAUUCUAGGACCUGUCCGGGUGGAGCUGGCCUGUCCGUUGCCGCAUCAGAGGGAAGGUGGCACUGGGAUGGGAGGGGACGCCUGGGUGAGAGUCCCAGGCUUACAAAGGACCUUCCUCUCAGCCUCUCUCUGUGACUUGUCAGGACAAGGCUUGUCAUGUGACUUCAGGAAGGACUUGUGUCAUUUCGGACCCAAUUAAGAAACAGACACACUCUAGGUAUUUCAGGGAGAAGAACCUAGAACAGGGAGCUGGUUACACAGGCUGUGUGUGGGAGAGCCAAGAGGCCAGAGGGGGCGUGAUGAGUCAACCCAGAGAUGGCCCACUGUGGGAAAGUGCCACCACCUGGGGGCGGGGGCACAGGGGAGGUGGUGGAUCCCAGGCUGGCUGGUGCCAGCUGGAACCUUCCUGGGUGGGGCACAGAGGACAUGCAACUGCAGCCAGUGACCCCACCUGAGGCAGAAUGUUCUCUCUUCACGCCCCGCUCCUCAGUUUUCCUUGGUGCCUCCGUGGGGGCAAACUCAGCUGGAAACAGGCUGGCAAUGGAGCCUGGGCAAUGCAGCCCUCAGGCUUCAGCCCCUGCAACCCAGGCAGGAAUGUAUGUGAGGUUGGGGGCCCAGGACUGGCCCGUGACUAUUUGUGCUUAAAUGCUCUGGGUGUUGGGGAGCUCACCCUCUAACUCUAGAGGUGGCCAUCACAGUCCAUUUCACUGCCUGCUGAGUAUGAGUGUUGGCUCAGAGUAAGGAAGAAAAGUUUGUCACUCCCACCCUGGAGACGAGGGUUUGUCUUGGAGCAGGAGUGGUUUGUGUAAGUCAGUUGCCUCACGCCUGCUGGCUUUUCUCAUACUGUCAGAGCUGCCAGGAAAGCUCUUCCCACCCUCCGGUGCUCAGCUGACUUUCACCCAGCUGGUGAGAUUCAGCUCUUCCAGGAAGCUGCCCAGCACCCACAUGCUGGGGGAUGGUGGCCUUGUGCCUGUCCGGGGCACCUUGCGCCUCCUUCUCUGUUGAGCCCUCAUGGCAUCACAUCAUAGGUGCAUUUUCCUGUUUGUCCACCCGAUCCAUCCCGGGCCCAGAGCUCGAGGGACUCAACUUUGGACCCCCCCGCCUCCACUGCUAACCUACUAAACGCUUCGUAUCCAGAAGAGUACUUUCUAGUUGGCAUAGCACUUGUUCACGCAUCAGCUCAGUGGAUCUUCCCAGCGAACCUGGAACCUGGGCCCAUUGGCUAGGAGGCUCAGAGAUGCCAAGGAGUGACAAUAACCAUGACUUGCUGCCCUUGACCGAGCACUUUUAAGCCUCACUAAAGGCACAGUGGGAUGUUGAACCACCCGAGCAAGCAUCUCCUUUAAUCUUCUGCAGCGUUAUGAAGUAGAAUUGACUAUCGUUCCUAUUUUAGAAGCAGAGCUACAGAAGCCCGAAAAGGAUAAUGGACUUGCCCGAGGUCACACAGCAGCAAAUUUAGACCUAGAACCCACUUCUUGAAUCCUGGUGCAGUGUUCUGACCAGCUCUCGGAAACUGAAAAAAAAAAAAAAAA